AUGCCGCCGCCACUCACCCUCCUCCUGGCCGUCCUCCUCGCCGGCCUCCAACCCGCCUCCGCCGCGUCAUCCUCGCAAACGGACGCCCUCCUAGCCUUCAAGCGAUCCCUCACCAUCCCGCCCGCGGCCGCAGCCUUCUUCUCCACGUGGGACGCCGCCGCUGCCUCGCCUUGCAACUUCACCGGCGUCACCUGCGACUCCAGCCGCUCCGUCGUCAUCGGCGUGUCCGUACGGGAGCACGGAGUCGCUGCCGCGUCCGUCCCGUUCGGCAUCAUCUGCGGCUCGCUGACGAACCUCACCACGCUCUCUUUGCCGUCGAACGCGCUCGCCGGGGGCAUCGACAGGGUCGUCGCGUGCACGGGGCUUGAGGAGCUCACCCUCGCGUCCAAUGCCUUCUCCGGCGCCGUGCCGGACCUCUCGCCGCUGAUCCGUCUCCGCAGGCUCGACGUCUCGAAUAACAGCUUCUCGGGUGCGUUCCCCUGGGCCGCGCUGCCCGCCAUGCCAGGCCUCACCGUGCUCGCCGCGGGAGACAACCCGUUCUUCGAGCCGACCAGUUCUUUCCCCGCCGAGGUCACCGAGCUCACCAACCUCACCGUGCUCUACCUCUCUGCCGCCAACAUCGUCGGCGCCAUCCCGCGGGCUAUGGGGAGCCUAGUCAAGCUCGUGGACCUCGAGCUGGCCGACAACAACCUCACGGGCGAGAUACCCCCGGAGAUUGCCAGUCUCGUUAACCUCCGGGCCCUCGAACUGUACAACAGCUCCCUUACCGGAGCUCUCCCGCGGGGGUUCGGGAAGCUAACGAAGCUACAGUACUUCGACGCGUCACAGAACAUGCUGACCGGCGGCCUCUCCGAGCUCCGGUUCCUCACGCGGCUCGUGUCGCUUCACCUCUUCGACAACAGCUUCUCCGGCGAGGUGCCCCUCGAAAUCGGAGACUUCAAGGAGCUCGUCUACCUGUCACUCUACAACAACAGCCUCACAGGCGAGCUGCCGCAGAGCCUCGGGACUUGGUCGGAGCUGACCUACAACAACAGCUCUCUUAGAGGAGCACGAACUCACUGA
This 1062-nucleotide ribosomal RNA is filed under the name Triticum aestivum (bread wheat). Its description in RNAcentral is "partial small subunit ribosomal RNA". Lineage: Eukaryota; Viridiplantae; Streptophyta; Magnoliopsida; Poales; Poaceae. The record is from RNAcentral.